AGAUAUUUGGGAUGAGGCAGCAUGCUGGUCCCUCAGCAGCAUCCUUAUCACGUCAGCUGUGAGAGAAAUAAAACUGUGAGACUGUGAAGUGUAUAAAGGAUUCUACCGCUCUCCCGGGGCUCGGAGACCCACAGAUUGGAGAAACCCUCUUGCCAUGUGCUACCUUUUGCCAUGUUAUGAAGGGGCCAGAAGGCCCUAACCAGAUGCAGCCCCUCGAACUGGG
This 223-nucleotide long non-coding RNA is filed under the name Pan troglodytes (chimpanzee). Its description in RNAcentral is "lincRNA". The record is from RNAcentral. Lineage: Eukaryota; Metazoa; Chordata; Mammalia; Primates; Hominidae.